RNAcentral lists this long non-coding RNA (999 nucleotides) under Parus major (Great Tit). RNAcentral's name for it is "lncRNA (ENSPMJG00000008600.1)". Lineage: Eukaryota; Metazoa; Chordata; Aves; Passeriformes; Paridae. The record is from RNAcentral.
AUUUGCUUUUUAUUUUGGACCUCAGGUAAAAGUUCUGUAUCACAGGGUAAUGAGUGAAAUAUCCUCGCUGAAAAACCUCUGGAUAAAGGCUCUGAGCAGCCCAGGAAAGGAGGAGGAUGAAGAGAGCACAGUGGCAAAACAGCAGGUGCCUUUCUCAGGGUCACCACAGAGCUUGGAAAAGCCUCAGAGCAGCAGAUUUUAUGAUCUCAGUGGGAUCUCCAGUAAUCCAAGCGAGUUCAUCCCAAAAAAACUGAUCCCACUGCUCCAGUCUGUGGUUCAGAUGCUGGAGGAAAACAGAAAAAACAAUUUAUCACCAGGCUACUCCUCGAGGAGCACUUUAAAAGCCUCUGCUGCUCACACAGAGGCAUUAAAAAGCAAAGAAAAUCAUGAAACCACUCCAGCUUCCACAACACCCCCUGCCCUGCUCCCCUCACCUGCAGAAAGGAUCACCCACAUGCAGCAAGAAAUGCAGACAAGGUUCCUCUGGGAGAAGCACAGCUGGGAGCGGGCACAUCUGGAAAUGGCCCUGCUGGCACAGGAGAUGGGCACUGUCUGCUCCUUCUACCAAUCAUCCAAGGAGUGCCACCAAGGAAAUUGGGGGCUGGAGAGCAGGGCUGGCACGCUGGAUUCACUCCUGGAAGAGCUCUCAGAACACCACGGCCAGGCUGGACAAGCCCUGCUCCAGCGACACCUGGAUGAAUUCAAACACUGCAGCCUCAGCCCCGAGCUGGCAGUGCCCAAACAGCCCCAACAUUUCCUGGAAGAGCUUCCCCAUCAUUUGUCCUUUUGUCUGCUUGGUUUGCAGAGCCCAAAUUGUGAGUUCAGCGAGCAGCAGGUGAGUUUGAGGCAUUUUCUGGGGGGGUUUUGUCACCUGGCAGGAGUGGAUGGCACAAACACACAGCCCCAUUCCACAAUUAUCAAACCACCUUCAGCAUUACCAGAAAUUCCAGUGUUCCAAGUCUGCCCUGGGAAUUGGCCCUGCUCUGCUGCCCACAGAGC